UUCAUUGUAUGUUUUUUCCUUUGAGCUUACCAUGAGACUUGCUAAUACUAUCUUACAACCCAUUAUUUUAACCUGAUAACAACCAGACACUACAUGCAUAAACAAACAAGCAGAAAGAAAACAAAUAAAAGCUCACCCUAACUUCUUGCCCCAACAUUUUAACUUUUGUUGUUUCUAUUUAUAUCUUACUGUACUGUCUUAAAAAUUUGUUGUAUUACUUUGAUUGCUCAGUUCACAUUUUCUU
Long non-coding RNA from Sapajus apella (tufted capuchin), 244 nucleotides. RefSeq lists it as uncharacterized. The transcript has 3 exons. Lineage: Eukaryota; Metazoa; Chordata; Mammalia; Primates; Cebidae. The record is from RefSeq and is a predicted model, not a curated record.